RNAcentral lists this ribosomal RNA (271 nucleotides) under uncultured prokaryote. Its description in RNAcentral is "partial 16S ribosomal RNA". It matches the Rfam family "Bacterial small subunit ribosomal RNA", at positions 524 to 794 of the family's 1533-position model. The record is from RNAcentral.
UACGGAGGAUCCGAGCGUUAUCCGGAUUUAUUGGGUUUAAAGGGUGCGCAGGCGGGAGAUUAAGUCGGCGGUGAAAUUUUGCAGCUUAACUGUAAAAGUGCCUUCGAAACUGGUUUCCUUGAGUGUAGAUGAAGUAGGCGGAAUUUGUGGUGUAGCGGUGAAAUGCAUAGAUAUCACGAGGAACUCCGAUUGCGCAGGCAGCUUACUAAACUACUACUGACGCUCAGGCACGAAGGCGUGGGGAUCAAACAGGAUUAGAUACCCUGGUAGU